GUAGGGCGGGACACGUGGUAUCCUGUCUGAAUAUGGGGGGACCAUCCUCCAAGGCUAAAUACUCCUGACUGACCGAUAGUGAACCAGUACCGUGAGGGAAAGGCGAAAAGAACCCCGGCGAGGGGAGUGAAAAAGAACCUGAAACCGUGUACGUACAAGCAGUGGGAGCACGCUUAGGCGUGUGACUGCGUACCUUUUGUAUAAUGGGUCAGCGACUUAUAUUCUGUAGCAAGGUUAACCGAAUAGGGGAGCCGAAGGGAAACCGAGUCUUAACUGGGCGUUAAGUUGCAGGGUAUAGACCCGAAACCCGGUGAUCUAGCCAUGGGCAGGUUGAAGGUUGGGUAACACUAACUGGAGGACCGAACCGACUAAUGUUGAAAAAUUAGCGGAUGACUUGUGGCUGGGGGUGAAAGGCCAAUCAAACCGGGAGAUAGCUGGUUCUCCCCGAAAGCUAUUUAGGUAGCGCCUCGUGAAUUCAUCUCCGGGGGUAGAGCACUGUUUCGGCAAGGGGGUCAUCCCGAC
Molecule: ribosomal RNA, 522 nt
Filed under: Escherichia coli
Lineage: Bacteria; Pseudomonadati; Pseudomonadota; Gammaproteobacteria; Enterobacterales; Enterobacteriaceae
Description: partial 23S ribosomal RNA
Rfam family: Bacterial large subunit ribosomal RNA
Source: RNAcentral